CCUACGGGAGACAGCAGUGGGGACUAUUGCGCAAUGGGCGAAAGCCUGACGCAGCGACGCCGCGUGAGGGAUGAAGGUCUUCGGAUCGUAAACCUCUGUCAGCAGGGAAGAACGGUCACUGUGCUAAUCAGCAGUGAAUUGACGGUACCUGCAAAGGAAGCACCGGCUAACUCCGUGCCAGCAGCCGCGGUAAUACGGAGGGUGCGAGCGUUAAUCGGAAUUACUGGGCGUAAAGCGCUCGUAGGCGGUAUGUCAAGUCAAGGGGGAAAUCCCCGCGCUCAACGUGGGAACUGCCUUUGAAACUGGCAAACUGGAGUGUGUGAGAGGAUAGUGGAAUUCCAGGGGUAGGAGGGAAAUCCGUAGAUAUCUGGAGGAACAUCAGUGGCGAAGGCGACUAUCUGGCACAUAACUGACGCUGAGGAGCGAAAGCGUGGGUAGCAAACAGGAUUAGAUACCCCUGUAGUC
This 465-nucleotide ribosomal RNA is filed under the name uncultured bacterium. RNAcentral's name for it is "partial 16S ribosomal RNA". It matches the Rfam family "Bacterial small subunit ribosomal RNA", at positions 338 to 795 of the family's 1533-position model. The record is from RNAcentral.